RNAcentral lists this long non-coding RNA (3075 nucleotides) under Homo sapiens (human). Its description in RNAcentral is "HSALNT0245697". Lineage: Eukaryota; Metazoa; Chordata; Mammalia; Primates; Hominidae. The record is from RNAcentral.
UGGAAGCAAGACAACUGGGCACCUUCUUCCCUCUGCAGAGCCCGUGAACACCGUGGUGAAUCUUUCGGGAGCUCCUUUGCUCAGGCACACAGAAGCCGCUUCUGAAUUCCCUCGCAGCCUCCGUGUAUCAGAGACCCAGUGCCAGCCUGGGCCGCCGGGGCUUGAGAUGAGCGCUCUUCCUCCCUCCCGACCCCAGCCUGAUGCCCCAAAGCCCUCCAGAGGAAAUCAAAGCUGGCGAGAGCCACGCGGAUGUUCAGAAGAAGUCUCUUAUCCCGGCAGCCUUUCACAGGCUGUGGGGCCUCGUGCCCUCUGCCCCCCGACGCCGUGAGAGGCCGGCAGCCAAUUCGCGGCAUUGUCUGAAACCCCUGCGUGGUGCCAUUGCCGCCGUCUUUCAUCCCUUUUGGCAAAGAACCCGCGCCAUCGGGUCCUCUGAAGUGCGGGAGACGGAUCGCUGAUCUGCCGGGGAAUGUGCUCUACAAGGUUAAGCAUGUUUGCCCAAGAAAUACGGAUAAUGCUCUUAGCACGUAUGACCUUUACGAUAUGUGGAACACUGUCCGUGACAAAAAUGCCAUUUUUUAAAUGGUUUUCACGCCGGGGUAUCCAGCCAUUAAUCAUGCUGCAUAUGAGUGACUGUAGGGGCUGCCUAGAAAAUCCUAGAGCCCCACGUUAGAUUCCUGGCGGGCCAAGGGCUGUGUGUGAACCUUGACUUCAUUAGGAUCUGCACCGCCGAUGGCUUCCUGGGCUGGGUGGCCCCCGGGGGCUCCUGCAAAAGAGCCUGGCUUCUCAGCACCUUCACAGGAGUGGCCACGGGCUCCUUAUUUUAAGGUGUCUUUGUGUCCUUGGAGCUGAUAAAUAACUCAUUUUGGAUGCCUCUGCUGAGCCUGCAUAUUUAGUGCCCACGAACUGCAUCUCAGAUGCUGGAGGCUAUGCCGCCCCUCUCCCUCCCUCUCCCGGCUGCAGAGCUGGGCAUUGCUCAGUAGGGGAAUGGCUGAUGCUGGGCGCCGGCCUGAUUGGAGGGAAGUGAUAGAAUUCAGGAUUUUUACUUCCAAAAAGGCAUUUUCCAGGGUCAGCCAGUUAAUACCUGCACAGCCCCAGUCAGAGAGCCCCCAGACGCCUGUGGGUCCCAAGCACGAGAAAAUGAGUCUGGUCUGUGUCGAGAGGCACUGGGUGUGCAGAACACACACAGGAUUUCAAAAGCUUGAUAUAAAAAGCACAAACUACCUCAUUCAUAAUUUUCACACUGAUUAGAUGUUGAAAUGAUAAUGUUUUGGAGAUACUGGGUUAGAUCAUAUGUAUUAUUAAACUUAACUUUACCUUUUCUUUUUGACUUAUUUCUUGUGGCCACUAGAAAGUUUAAAAUUGCCGACGUGGCUUGCAUCUUACCUCUGUCAGAAGCUCAGGCCACACACCCAUGCAGAGACCCACCCUGGGAGUGGAGAAGUGGAUGGAAGGACAGAAGAGAAGGCCCUUCCAUGCCCUGGGGGCAGGGUGCUCCCAAUCCCAUUGCGGGGAAGGAGUGCUCACACAAGCACCUGUGCAACUGGCACCUUUUGGGGUCUGUUUGUGUUUUCCAGGCCUGACACUGGGGCAAGGAAAAGCCAAGACACAUCGCACUUUAUUAAUCAACAUUUAGUGAUGCUUUUGGAGACAGGCAGAGGGAGCAAGGGGUGUCCUGAGUCCCCCUUUGGAAGGGAAUGGGGAUAGGGAGCAGGCAGCGGGCAGUGGGCACAGACAACCAGCAGUGCCCACCCAGAUGAUGCACUAAUCUUCCCUCCCCCACCUCCCCUCCCCCGCAGUUUGAUGCUUGGCUCUGUCCUGGUGGACUUCUUAAACCUGCACCAAGCGGCUGCUACUGCUGACCCCAGGGAUGUCCUGACACUUUCUGGGUGGCCUCCAAGCCACAUGCAAAUAUAACCCAAUUUCCACCACUGUCUGAGGAAGGAUGUGGGAAGUGCUGGUCCCCCCUGCAGCCCUCACCAAUCUCCCCAGUGACCACACGGGAGCAUCUCUCCAUCACAGCCACUCUGGACCCAUUGCAGACACAGGAAGAGUAACAGCAUCCCAGCCUGGCGGCGUCAGACGGUUUGGCAGAGUCCCUGUGCACCAGAUCCAGUGUUAGGUGCUGAGGAUUCACAGCAAACGCAUAACCCCUGGACCAGCAUGUGAAGUGAUCAUCCCAAACCCAUCAUGAGAGACCAAAGGGGGUCUUGGGAUUCCUAAGGGCAUUUAGCCCAACCUAAGGAUUUGAAAAUGUACCUGCCGGACAUGGAGAAACUGGCACCUUGGGUGUUUUAAAGGACAAAUUGUAGGUACACAGGAAAAGAGAAGUGGGAGGGGCAUAGAGGCAGGAUAUUGUAGAAGUAAGUGCUGAUGAAUGUGGGAGGGUCAACUGUGGGCAGUCUGUAGUGCAGGUGACGGUGGACUAUACAGGCUAAGGCAGGGAGCGGCAGGAGACAAGGCCGGGAGAGUCACUGGGGUCUGGGGAAGGUCAGAAGGAGCCUUGAAUGGCAUACUCAGGAUUCGAUCUCCCUCCAAUAGGCAAAGGGUGCCACCAAAGGGCUCUGAGCUGGGUGAGCGGCUUUGAUUUAGAGUUUCCAGAAAUGGCUCCGGCAUCAGGGCAUGAAGGAGGAUUAACACCAAAGGCACAAAGUUUGGGACCUGAACUAGGACAUUGGUAUUAGGAAGAGAAAAGAGACAAAUAUCUAAGAAAUAUUUAAAAGAUGUAACUGGCCAGACCAGGCAUCAGAGUCAACAUGGUGGGCAAGGAAGAGCUGCCAUUGUGUGUCUCCCGGAUAUGGGCUCUGAUCUCCAGGUCAGAGAAAACUGCAGGCUGGCCUCAGUAGAUCCCAGAGGCAGAAGCGACAUCCACCAAGCCUGCCUCACUGGGCUGGAGCAGCCUGGCAUCUGUGCACCAGCCUCCUGCUGACCUCUCACCGGCUGUCAGGACAGCCCAGGGCAGAGAGGUGACAUCCAGGCUACCCGAGGCAGCAGGUCAAACCCAGCUAAGUAACUAAAUAAAGAUAUGAUUGUAAUGAUGAUUAAAUAUGAAGCACCUCAUUAAUUUCAUGUGAGAGG